GACGAACGCUGGCGGCGUGCUUAACACAUGCAAGUCGAACGGAAAGGCCCUGCUUUUGUGGGGUGCUCGAGUGGCGAACGGGUGAGUAACACGUGAGUAACCUGCCCUUGACUUUGGGAUAACUUCAGGAAACUGGGGCUAAUACCGGAUAGGAGCUCCUGCUGCAUGGUGGGGGUUGGAAAGUUUCGGCGGUUGGGGAUGGACUCGCGGCUUAUCAGCUUGUUGGUGGGGUAGUGGCUUACCAAGGCUUUGACGGGUAGCCGGCCUGAGAGGGUGACCGGCCACAUUGGGACUGAGAUACGGCCCAGACGCCUACGGGAGGCAGCAGUGGGGAAUAUUGCACGAUGGGCGGAAGCCGGAUGCAGCAACGCCGCGUGCGGGAUGACGGCCUUCGGGUUGUAAACCGCUUUCGCCUGUGACGAAGCGUGAGUGACGGUAAUGGGUAAAGAAGCACCGGCUAACUAUGUG
RNAcentral lists this ribosomal RNA (468 nucleotides) under uncultured bacterium. RNAcentral's name for it is "partial 16S ribosomal RNA". It matches the Rfam family "Bacterial small subunit ribosomal RNA", at positions 28 to 507 of the family's 1533-position model. The record is from RNAcentral.